RNAcentral lists this long non-coding RNA (4510 nucleotides) under Eucalyptus grandis. Its description in RNAcentral is "long non-coding RNA (EGRA_LNC001145)". The record is from RNAcentral. Lineage: Eukaryota; Viridiplantae; Streptophyta; Magnoliopsida; Myrtales; Myrtaceae.
GAGAUAGCUUGGUGACGGAGAGUUCGACCCCGUGUUCAGGUUCAAUAACCAACCUAAGAGCAGGGGAGUGGAUGUAGUUGGGAGAAAGGGUGAAGGAGAAGUUGUAGAGAAGCUGGGCAAUGAGAAUCUUGAGCUCCACCAUGGCCAGGUUCUGCCCGAGGCACACGCGAGGUCCUACUCCGAAGGGCAUGUACAAGUGCGGCAGCUUACAGGCUCCCGUGAUCCCAUUGGCGAAUCUCCCCGGGUUGAAAGAGUAGGAGUCUGGCCCCCAUAUCUCAGGGUCCGUGUGCAGUGUUAACACCAUCGUCCACACGUUCACUCCCUCCGGCACUUGCAGGUCCCCGAAUUUCAUAUCCGUCAAGGCCUCCCUCGACACCACUGGCACGGGGGAGUAUAGCCGCAGCGACUCGUUUAUCACCAUUGUGAGCUGCACCCAGGACAGAAAGGUUAACACAUGCCGAUGAUCAGGAAAUCAAAACGUUAUAUUAUGUGCACUCUGUCUUAAAGGUAUGGGGAAGGCGCACCAGUUUCAUCUUACGGAUCACAUCGGCAUCAGGAAGACGGUCCCCACAAACCUCAAGAACCUCGGCACGCACACGAUUUUGCCACUCUUGACUGGAAGCCAACAGCAUGAGGCACCAUGUCGCAGAGACGGCAGUGGUCUCGUACCCAGCCAAGUAAAUGUUUUUGCAGUUGUCGACAAUGAAGCGGUCCAUGGCCUCCUGGCUCAAGUCGCUGUUUUUGGCACCCUCGAGAAGCAUCUGCAGAAGGUCCUUCUCAUAUGCAGCUUCCAUCCUCUCCUUCACCACCUGCAGUAUCAAACUGCGGACCUCCUUCUCCAGUGCCCAGGCUUCUCUGUUAGUCUUGGUGGGGAGGUAUCUGCGUCAUUGCAUGAACGGAAUUGAUUAAAGCAGCUAAGCGACUCUGGAUUUUUUUGUUUCCCCUUUCUUUUCAAGGGGGCAGUAUGGAAGGGAAGGCUUAAUUGGAGGUUUUUCGGGAGAAAGAGAUAUUUAACUUCGCACCUCAUGCCAGGAAUCCCAAUGGAAAGACCUUUCUUGGACAUGGCCUCUUGGAGAGCCCUCAACUUGUGGAAGAUCUCCUCUCCUUUGGCAAAAUUGCUGCCAAAGCAGGCCCUGGAGAUGACAUCUCCGGAGAAACUUCUCAUGUGCUGGUCGAUGUUAAUGCUGGCUACUCCACCGGCUGCGUCCACUUUGUUCUUCCAGGACUUCAACAGUGUCUCUGUGGACUCGUUAAUGAGGUUUAUCAUUCCCUGCGAGCGGGCAAACUCAGAAAUGUUAAUUUAAGAAAAAAUUGGUUGUGGUGAUGAUAUUGAAAGACAUCAAUUAAAAUAACAUACCUUGACAUUCUCCAUAUAGAGCUCGGGAGCGAGGAUCUUGCGCUGAUGGGCCCAGUGGGAGCCGUUGGAAGUUAAGAUGCCUUGACCCAUCAAGGGACCCAUCUCCUUGAGCUGGUAUGAGGGCUUCCCCAAGUCCAAAGAUGUGCAGGUGGUGAUCUCCCUCACCACGUCUGGUUGGUUCACAUAGAUUAUCUGUGUGUUCCCCAGCGAGAACACAAAUAUAUCUCCUGUAACAAUCACGAGACAUCAGCGCAUGAGAUCAGCCUGAUCUGAUUGUCCAUAUCUGGACCACAAACGACCAAUCCAAGUCAUUUAAGAGUGGGGGAAGGAGAAAUGAUCUGAUUCAGGAGUGGUGAAUUAUUCAUUUAUUUUACUGAGUGAGAACGUGCCAAAUCAAAUUUAGUGUGAAUGUGAGAAGUGACGCUGGGGCGCUGGAGGCGUUUUUGUUGGGUCCAAUCCAGAUCCAGCACCGGAGGAGCCACCCAGCGCAUGCAUCAUGCAUCGGUCAUUAACAAAGACCUAACAAUAACCCCAUAAAAGAAAGAGCAGCCAUUGGUAGGGGUUGCAAGUUUGAAAAAAUGGAAACGGGCAGUGAAGGAAUCUUCAACAUCUACCACCGCAUGCCGUGCGGUGCGCCAAACGACAUGACAGGCUUCAAACAACAUCAACCUUGAAGUACAGAAAACGUAUAUCACGGGAUGCACGUUAUCUGUCUAUAUCUGACUGCGAAAUCUAAGUAGCACCAACCUCUGAGUUUCAUAAACUCUCUAAUAAUUGUACGAAAAUCUUGCUUUAGUUUAUGUAGUUUGGAACAUGGAAAAUCCAAACACGUGAAUAUUUUUAGAUUAAUCGUAGAAUAGAGAUGAAGAUCCCAGUUAGGGCGGCGGGGAGGUGACCUACCGUAUUGUUUUCUCCACUUGUCAAAGAAGGGAAAGAGGACAGCUGCACAAUCAUGGCGGGCAGGGGGCUGGCCAGGCGGAGUCUUGGGAACGGAGGAGGAGGAGGAGGAGGAGGAGGAGGAGGAGGAUCUCGCCUUCUUGAUCUCCAUGAUGUUGCCGAGCAAGAAGGCGGGGGGUGGUCCAUUGAUGCCUUGUUUCCUCAGCAAGGACCUCAACUUUUCUGGCUUCACCACCAGCGCGUUGUACAGCCUCAGAAACACUCCUAUUACGCCCACCACGGCUAUGGAUAUCAGCACCUUUGCGUUCAACAACUGCAGAUAUUCCAUUGCUGAUGAUUCUCCCAAGUCCUAAUGUGAACGUAACUCCGGAGUACUGGAGACUUGGAGAUGACAGCACUGUUUGGGAGGUGGCCGAUGGGUUUUGGUGGGAUAUAUGGGGGGUUUGUGAUGUUGUUGCCAGAUGCUACCGAGGCACACUUAUAUAUACCUACAGAAGGGUGACCAGGACAAGGUCCCCGUGAAAAAUGCUGGAAGCGCGAUAAUUCUGCUUUAUUGAAAGAAAACGAUGUUUUAAGAGUGUCGCCCGCCAAGUUGGUCCCGUCAAAGUGGAAUAUCGAAUGUGGAAAUCACCCUCCCAAUCUAGAAAUCUGCGAACCCAUUUCACGACGACCGGCAUGAUUUGUCAAGGAGGGUGAACAACCGAGCACUACUUUGCUCCAUGGACUUUAAAGCUGAUUUCAUUGACGGAGUGAGCUCUCUCUCCACCUCUCAAGUCCCCACCAACACAAUGGGACGGGAAUAAGUGUACUGAAAAAUCUUUAAACUUAUGAUGAAAGUAUAAUUGAAUUUUAAAAUUUGUAAAAUGUAUAAUUAAAUCAUAAAACUUGUCAAAUUAGUGAAUCAAGUCAUUAAAUUCUGUUCAACCUGACUAAUGGAAGCUCUUGUUAGUUUUAAUGCAUGUCAUUAACAUCUUAUUCCCCUGUGUUCUAAAUACUAGUAAGUGAGGAUUGCAAUGGCCAGGAUGCUCUUGUUUCUGGAAUAUCUGCAUUUGGCAUGCCUGAUUUCAUUAAUGAAGUUCCCUUAGAGGCAUACCCUUGAGGUUUAUCUUUCAAGGAUUUUUCACUUGCUGAUUUUUCAAUCUGUUUAAUAGAUUAUAAAUAUCUUAGCAUAUUUCUUGUAAAAUCAAAACUAGUAGUAUCAUGUGCAUCUUGCACACAUGUUUAAAACUUGUAGUAUGAAGAAUUCUUCUUCUAGUUCUUGAGAUUUAUGUAACCUACGAUUAUUUUUUCCUGCAAUUGACGCCUGUUGAGAUUGCUUAUCCUUGAUUAAAUUGUUUCUUUGCUUGAGAUAAUGUGAAUGUGGUCACUUGGAGUAGUCACUUGUCCAUUGUUGAUGGCACUAAAAUUUAAGUAGUUGUGUGACAUGAGAUUGAUCUUUUAAUCUCAUUUUCUUGCAAUGGAUAUGUCUUGACAUAUCUCAGGAAGUGGAGCAGCAUAUUUUGCAAAUUCCAUCAAUGUGCCUCUAUUGCUAAGGAAGUCAGUGGUUGGUUUCAAUAGUUGAUUAUGUUAUUGCUGAUGUUGUUGCAUUAGCCUUCUUAAUCACUUGGAUGUGGGCAUUACAAGUGAUUGUAAUCUUCAUUCUACCAAUUAUAGUGAAACAACCUUACAGAUCUCUUCAUGUGGAGUAGGCGCAUUGUCAAAUCACGUAAAUUCACAAUGUUUAUGUGUUAUUUUUGCAAUUUAUUUCUUGUUUGAAUUGUUUCGUUUAUUCACCUUCCACAUUAAUUGUGACAUGUACAAUGGAGAAAGAACAAACUUUGCCAUAAACUGAUACAAAAGUGAAUAAGGGAAGGGGAAGUUGCUUUCGGAUACAACAAGAAACCGUAUAGUGGGCUUACGGGUGAGAAAAAAACCAUCUCUAGGAGAUAUCAAUCUCGAGAUAGCUUGGUGACGGAGAGUUCGACGCCGUGUUCAGGUUCAAUAACCAACCUAAGAGCAGGGGAGUGGAUGUAGUUGGGAGAAAGGGUGAAGGAGAAGUUGGAGAGAAGCUGGGCAAUGAGAAUCUUGAGCUCCACCAUGGCCAGGUUCUGCCCGAGGCACACGCGAGGUCCUACUCCGAAGGGCAUGUACAAGUGCGGCAGCUUACAGGCUCCCGUGAUCCCAUUGGCGAAUCUCCCCGGGUUGAAAGAGUAGGAGUCUGGCCCCCAUAUCUCAGGGUCCGUGUGCAGUGUGAACACCAUCGUCCACACGUUCACU